CCUACGGGUGGCAGCAGUCGAGAAUCAUUCACAAUGGGGGAAACCCUGAUGGUGCGACGCCGCGUGGGGGAAUGCAGGUCUUCGGAUUGUAAACCCCUUUCAUGUGGGAGCAAAUUAAAAAGAUAGUACCACAAGAGGAAGAGACGGCUAACUCUGUGCCAGCAGCCGCGGUAAUACAGAGGGGUCAAGCGUUGUUCGGAAUCACUGGGCGUAAAGGGUGCGUAGGCUGUGUCGUAAGUAGUGUGUGAAAGGCGCGGGCUCAACCGGCGGACGGCACAAGAUACUGCGGGACUAGAGUAAUGGAGGGGGAACCGGAAUUCGCGGUGUAGCAGUGAAAUGCGUAGAUAUCGAGAGGAACACUCGUGGCGAAGGCGGGUUCCUGGACAUUAACUGACGCUGAGGCACGAAGGCCAGGGGAGCGAAAGGGAUUAGAUACCCCUGUAGUC
Molecule: ribosomal RNA, 446 nt
Filed under: uncultured bacterium
Lineage: Bacteria
Description: partial 16S ribosomal RNA
Rfam family: Bacterial small subunit ribosomal RNA
Source: RNAcentral